UUCGCACACAGUUCAAAGUCUUGUUUACGGUAUCUAAAAGAGACCUUUGCUCUGUGUGGAAGA
RNAcentral lists this microRNA precursor (63 nucleotides) under Oreochromis niloticus (Nile tilapia). RNAcentral's name for it is "microRNA oni-mir-10748 precursor". The record is from miRBase by way of RNAcentral. Lineage: Eukaryota; Metazoa; Chordata; Actinopteri; Cichliformes; Cichlidae.